CUCACCUCAGAUUUUCCUUACCUAUCUUCCCGCCUCGCCCAUCUCUCUCUAAGGCUCUCACCACCGCCGUGUCUCCGUCUCCGCCGCUCUCACCCCGAUCUAUCUGUCCGUCUCUCCGGGGCCACUGGGCUAAACUGAGGAAUUGGGAUCAUCUCAAUCUGCAGUCUCGUAAUAUUACUUAUAUAAGAGCUCGUAUGCAGUGAGCUGACCUAGCUGCUGCGUCUGCUGCUGUGCUAUACGAUGCUGAUUAUCCCAAGGUAACAUUUUAAAGUACAUUGCGGGUAGACUUCUCAACAAGACAAGUGCAUCAUGGACGAUCAAAAGGACUGGUUUGGUGCAUCAAUGGCAGUGCAAACAGCGGAGAUUGCUAUGUAGUUCUAUACACCUAUCACUAUCAUGAUAAGAAAGAAGAUUAUUACCUGUGCUGGUGGAUUGGAAAGGAUAGUAUUGAGCUCUAAGGCUCUCACCACCGCAGUCCGUCUCCGACGAUCUCAGCCAGCCCUCUCAACGGGGCCACUGUAUGUCCCUCGUUAAUAUAU
Molecule: long non-coding RNA, 539 nt
Organism: Ipomoea nil (Japanese morning glory)
Lineage: Eukaryota; Viridiplantae; Streptophyta; Magnoliopsida; Solanales; Convolvulaceae
Exons: 4
Source: RefSeq, a predicted model, not a curated record